Molecule: ribosomal RNA, 562 nt
Filed under: uncultured Synechococcus sp.
Lineage: Bacteria; Bacillati; Cyanobacteriota; Cyanophyceae; Synechococcales; Synechococcaceae
Description: bacterial SSU rRNA
Rfam family: Bacterial small subunit ribosomal RNA
Source: RNAcentral
UACGGGAGGCAGCAGUGGGGAAUUUUCCGCAAUGGGCGAAAGCCUGACGGAGCAACGCCGCGUGAGGGAUGAAGGCCUCUGGGCUGUAAACCUCUUUUAUCAAGGAAGAAGAUCUGACGGUACUUGAUGAAUAAGCCACGGCUAAUUCCGUGCCAGCAGCCGCGGUAAUACGGGAGUGGCAAGCGUUAUCCGGAAUUAUUGGGCGUAAAGCGUCCGCAGGCGGCCCUACAAGUCUGCUGUUAAAAAGUGGAGCUUAACUCCAUCAUGGCAGUGGAAACUGUUGGGCUUGAGUGUGGUAGGGGCAGAGGGAAUUCCCGGUGUAGCGGUGAAAUGCGUAGAUAUCGGGAAGAACACCAGUGGCGAAGGCGCUCUGCUGGGCCAUCACUGACGCUCAUGGACGAAAGCCAGGGGAGCGAAAGGGAUUAGAUACCCCUGUAGUCCUGGCCGUAAACGAUGAACACUAGGUGUCGGGGGAAUCGACCCCUCCGGUGUCGUAGCCAACGCGUUAAGUGUUCCGCCUGGGGAGUACGCACGCAAGUGUGAAACUCAAAGGAAUUGACGG